Non-coding RNA from Podarcis lilfordi (Lilford's wall lizard), 14033 nucleotides. NCBI's taxonomy places the organism in Eukaryota, Metazoa, Chordata, Lepidosauria, Squamata, Lacertidae. The record is from the annotation of a GenBank genome assembly.
CUCAUUUUCUAAUGUUCCUCUCACACUCCAGUACCUGUAGUGUUGUUGAUCUAAUAUAUCAGCACGUCAUGCAUGCCCUCCAACAUGUCCAGGCCCCGAACCAGGAUGUGUGUGUUUCGGGCUGCGCUCCUGGGUGAGUCACUUGACCCGUGUGCCAUUGUAACCCCUGGGGUUACAAUGGGGGUGUAGAUCAUGGCGCCCAAAAUGGCUGCCAUGCUCUCACGUGAAAAAACAGGAUGUCACAGUUUUCCCGGGACAGUUGAGGGACAUGUGUCACAUCGCCCCCUGGGCUGGUUGUAAGUAAGAAGGCAGGCAGGUGGAGCCUGGCUGAGAGUAGACUGAAUCUUUUGGGGGCAGUGUCCCAUUUGUCAUAAUGGACCAGCCCCCACUGAUUUCAAUCUACCUCCUUCCAACUAAACAGUUGCACGUGAGUUUAAAAAUUGAAGCUUUUGGUAAAAGGACAAGAGCGGCCUUCAAGGACUCAUAAACACAUAUUUUGCAAGGAGCUACUUACCUGGUCUUAACUUUAUUUUUUUCUUCAAAAAAAUUAAUCCCCAAGAUUUUCUUGGAGAAAAUCUAAUUCUGGAUAAGGCCUAGUCACUUACCAGAUGAAGCUGAUUUUGACUAAACGAUUAUCUUAUGUAUGAUAUAAGACCCUUCUAGUCUGCAUUUGAGCAAGUUCAUAAGCUUUCAAUUAUAUCCCCGGGUGAAUAAUAUAAAUCUUUCUCCUGAUCAAGUUCAGUGAAGAAUGCAUUUUUUUAAAAAAGGGAUUUUGCAAACAAGGAAACUCAUCACUUCAAGAUUACCCUAUGUCAUUAGAAAUAUCAACUGUUUUCAUUCAUUAUUAAGCCGAAUGUAUGAACAAUUUGUAACAAAGAGAGAAGAAAGUAGAUGGAGAGAGAAGCUGUGGAUGAUUUGUUUAUAUUAGAAGAAUCUGUCUCUUGUGCUUUCCUUUAUGCAUGGAAAGAAUGAAAAUUAUUUUCACCAUUUAUAUGCAAUUAUGCAGGCAGUGGUCUUUCCUCUCUCUUAAGCACUAAAAUAGUGUUAAUGAUUUCUAAAUGCUAUAUUAGGCCUACACUAUUAUCAGCCCAAUGGUAAUUUGAAGUGGUGGGGGAACACCCCAAACCUGCAUUAUGCAAAAUAUAUCAAGUGUUUUAAAAUAAAUAUUCUCUGUAACAUACCACAGGGAAUGCUGAAUCCCAGGUGGGUUAAUAACAUGUGAAUGUGCAAGAAUUUUGAGUGAACAAUUAUUAGAAUUGAGCGCUUGGAUUUUAAGGAUACAAGCUGUGGACAGGGUUAUGAGCUCAAAAAGCAAAUGAAAAACAAAGUCCUCUGGAGCUAUUGUACUGUACUCUACUGUGCUGCUGCAAACCGUGUCUUUUCUGGACAGUGAAUAUAUUGCAGGUUUAUAACAGUGCAAUGGGUGUGGGACACAUAUAUGCAAAUGUUUGGAAACAGACACUGGGAACAGCAAAUGGCUGAUGCUGCUGGGAAGGUGCUGUGCUGGGUGAACUGAAUCCAUCGUAAUUCGCAAGUCGCUCGGUGAAUUGCAAAUUCAACAAUAUAAACUCAGAGGAAACUGACAAACUGGAACGUGUCCAGAGGAGGGCAACCAAAAUGGUCAAAGGCCUGGAAACGAUGCCUUAUGAGGAACGGCUAAGAGAGCUGGGCAUGUUUAGCCUGGAGAAGAGGAGGUUAAGGGGUGAUAUGAUAGCCAUGUUCCAAUAUAUCAAAGGAUGUCACAUAGAGGAGGGAGAAAGGUUGUUUUCUGCUGCUCCAGAGAAGCGGACACGGAGCAAUGGAUCCAAACUACAAGAAAGAAGAUUCCACCUAAACAUUAGGAAGAACUUCCUGACAGUAAGAGCUGUUCGACAGUGGAAUUUGCUGCCAAGGAGUGUGGUGGAGUCUCCUUCUUUGGAGGUCUUUAAGCAGAGGCUUGACAACCAUAUGUCAGGAGUGCUCUGAUGGUGUUUCCUGCUUGGCAGGGGGUUGGACUCGAUGGCCCUUGUGGUCUCUUCCAACUCUAUGAUUCUAUGAUUCUAUGAAAGUUUUCUAUUGUUGCAAGGUUUCAAAGUGUCUUUGAAUUUUUGCACAUGUGCACCACAAAAGCACAUCAUGAGAAGGUUGUGUGCUUUUCGGCCCGUGAACCAAAAACAGAAUGGUGUGUGUGUGUGUGUGUGUGUGUGAGCACUGGUGAUGUUCCUUGAGGAAUGAAGAUUCUCUUUAGCCAUUAUCACUCACAUGUCUCCAAUCAAUGAGUGGGGCACUAAAGAAGUGACUACUGGCUCUGCCCCUCUGUGACAUUCCUCAUAACCCAUCUUGCAGCCUCCUAUGUGUUCAAGAGGCAUUUCUGCAACAGGGAGACAGCUUUACUCAUCCGGGCUUGCUGCAUAAUGUGCAGCCAUGCUAAAUAGCGCAGGAAGCCAAGAUGAGCACUGUGAUUGGAAUCCCAUAUGUCCUUAUUUUCCAGAGACAGCCCUGGCUUUGCAGAAGCCACCCCAGUUUCCGAUUUGAUCCCAGAAUGUCCCGCUUUUCCUCACGACGUCCCUAUUUUCACCGGAGAAAUGUUGGAAAGUAUGGAGUUAUGCAACCCCUGAGCCAAGGAGAUAAGUAAUGAUGCAACUUUAACAAGACAACUGAAGGCAGCCCUGUUAUGGAUUUUUUUUUUUUAAGUUCAACAUUUUAUUAUGUUUUUAUAUAUGUUGGAAGUUGCCCAGAGUGGCUGGGGCAACCCAGUCCUAUGGGAGGUAUAUAAAAUCAUCAACAUCAACAUCAUGGAAUAGGAUGUCCCUAUUUUCAGUGGAGAAAUAUUGGAAAGUAUGGAAUCACCUGACAGGGAAUGAAUAGAUAUGGUUUUGUUGUGAAGAAAAGUGCAAUAUUCUCCCAGCAUGACUAGGGUAACAAGGAAACAACUUCAGGAAUCCUAAGGUAGAUUCAAGCCAGACAAGAAGUACUUUUUCACAGAAAACAAACUAUGAAAUUCACUGCUAGAAUUUGUGUUGAUGGCCACCAACUAGGAUUGCUUUAAAAGGGGUUUAGACAAAUUCACGGAGAUAAGGCAAUCAACUAGUUGUGACGACUGCAAUACUACUUCCAGGAUCACAGUCAGUGUGCCUCUGAAUAUCAGUCAAUGGGGAACAACAUGAGGAAGGAGCUAUUGCGUUUUUGGCCUGCUUGGCAGCCGAUGCGCAUCUGGCUGGAGACUUUUCUUAUGUUGUUGUUGUUGUUGUUUAGUCGUUUAGUCGUGUCCGACUCUUCGUGACCCCAUGGACCAGAGCACGCCAGGCACUCCUGUCUUCCACUGCCUCCCGCAGUUUGGUCAAACUCAUGCUGGUAGCUUCGAGAACACUAUCCAACCAUCUCGUCCUCUGUCGUCCCCUUCUCCUUGUGCCCUCCAUCUUUCCCAACAUCAGGGUCUUUUCCAGGGAGUCUUCUCUUCUCACGAGGUGGCCAAAGCAUUGGAGCCUCAGCUUCAGGAUCUGUCCUUCCAGUGAGCACUCAGGGCUGAUUUCCUUAAGAAUGGACUUCUUAGGUUAAGGGUCCCUUAAGUAGAAGCACAGCUUGUCAACAAAGUGAUUCAAGGUUUCAACUUCCAGUUUGUGGCCUGAAAGCAGAAUGUGGAAGAUGCUCAUAUCCAACUGGACACUUUCAGGAUCUUGCGAUAAACUAUAGCGGCAAAUAUAUUUUGACAAGUAAGGAGGAAGGAAGAGCCUUUGACGAACGGAGGUAAAUUAAUAUGCUCGCAGCUCCCUUUUGCAUUGUGGUACCAGCCUCGCAAAGAAAAGAGCAAGUGAGUUGAACGAGGCCCUGUUAAAUUCCCCCACUAAUCUGAUGAGAAGAGGGAGAGACAGACAGCGAGAGUUCACUUGGCUAAUUUUCUAGCCAGAAGCUACAACAAUGUUUCUAUUAGGAGAUAUGAAAAGAGACAAAGAGAUAUAAUAACUAUAGAUUGGCAUUGCUGGCCAGAAGACGAGCUCACUCUGCUUCAGGGUGGGAGGCCAAGCUCCUAAGGGGGAAUUUUGUGUUUUAAUACAUUCUUUUUUGGGCUAUUUCUAUCUGCACAUUAGAUUAACACUGAAUGAAAAUAAAGGUUUUUUUAAAAAAGAAAGAAAGAAAACCAUGGAAAAUUGUCUGUUCAGUUAGCUUGCAUAAAAGUGAGACAAAAAUGCAUUGACCUUGCAUUGUCCUCCCCUCUGAGGAUGUGUGAAAUUCAAAAUCAUAUUAUUCGGCUCACAGAGACAGGUUUCUUCCUUUCCCCCUUUUCAUCUAUUGUUUAUUUUGCAUCUAUUCUAAGGGGAAUAUGAGCAUCUGAUGAUCUGGGAUACAAAACUCUUGGACCUUUUACAUUUUUUAUAUAUUUCGCAUGUACUCCUUAAACCAGUUGUUCUCUGCCUCUGCAUUGAGUGGGCACACUAGGAAAGGAUUCACUCAAACAAUUAAAGAUUCCCAUGAAGUUGGAGGACUUUGUAGGUCAGCCUUCCCCAAGCUGCUUCCCUUCAGAUAUUGUUGGACUACAGCUGCCAUCAGCCCCAUCCAGCAUGGCCAUUGUUUGGGGACAGUGAGAGUUGUACUCCAAAACGUAUGGAGGACAGCAGGUUGGGGAAGCCUGUGGUAAACAAAUUACAGUGGUACCUCGGGUUACAUACACUUCAGGUUACAGACUCCGCUAACCCAGAAAUAGUGCUUCAGGUUAAGAACUUUGCUUCAGGAUGAGAACAGAAAUCGUGCAGCGGCAACACAGCAGCAGCAGGAGGCCCCAUUAGCUAAAGUGGUGCUUCAGGUUAAGAACAGUUUCAGGUUAAGAACGGACCUCCGGAACGAAUUAGUACUUAACCCAAGGUACCACUGUAAUGGAAGGAAAGGUCUGUCAAUAGCUCCUAGGCAAAUACAGUGGUGCCUCGCAAGACGAAAUUAAUACGUUCCGCAAGUCUCUUAGUCUUGCGAAGCACAGCUAUUAGCGGCUUAGCGGCUUAGCGGCUAUUAACGGCUUAGCGGCUUUAUGAAAAAGGAAACAAACUCGCAAGAACUCGCAAGACGUUUCGUCUUGCGAAGCAAGCCCAUAGGGAAAUUCGUCUUGCGGAACGACUCAAAAAACGCAAAACCCUUUCGUCUAGCGAGUUUUUCAUCUUGCGAGGCAUUCGUCUUGGGGGGCACCACUGUACUGGUUGCUGGAGAAGGUCUACCAACUUCUUGUGGGCUUCCUGGAAGUGCCUAGAUGGCCACACUGUAGCAGAAGGACUAAUGGUCUUAUUCAGCUGGAUUCUCCUCCUCCUCCUCCUCCUCCUUCAUCUAUUUAUACCCUGCAUUUCCCCCUGACAGGACUCGAGGCAAAUUUAUAGAUCAAAACAUAGAAAAAUCAAUCAUUAAAAAACAACUGAACAUCGAUAAGAUUGAAACUAUAUACAUAUAUAAAAUCUGUUUGGAAACAUAGAGAUAAUCACAAUAAAAAUAGUUCGGUGCCAGCCCUUUCAUUAAAAGCAGUCAGUUUUGAAAAGCAUGUUGGAAGAAUAAGUUUUUCACCUACUGGUAGAAAGAAGGAGGCAAGAAGAGGGGAAGGAGGAGGCCAGUCUAGCUUCUCCAGGGAGGGAUUUCCAGAGUUUGAGAGCAGCCACCGAGAAGGCCCUUUCCCACAUCCCCACAAAGUUUGCCUGUGAGGGUGGUAGGACCAAGAGAUCUCCUGGAGAUCUCAAAACCCGGGCAGGUUCAUAUGAGGGAAUACGGUCUUUGAGAUAGCUAGGACCUAAGCCAUGUAGGGGUUUAGAGGGCAUAACCCACACUUUGAAUUUUGCCUUUAUGAAUUAUGUCCCAUUGCACCUGAGCCUCCAUCAAGGUAGACAAGUCUGUUGUGUACUCACUCUAUAUAGUUGAUGCAUUAAAGAACCCAUGCAGAGAUGUGGUUGGAUCAGGUUCCUUCUGAGGAGAGUGUCUCUGUAUGAACAGAGGCUGUGGGCAUGCAGCCAUCCAAUCAGAGUUCCCCUGAGAAUGAACUUUUGUGAGUGGCUAUAGAAAGAAGGAGGUGGGGUUCUUUUUGAGUGGGGUGGAGGACUGGCUAGCAGAGCAAUCCAACCCCGUUUUCCAGACUGGACUGAGCACAUGUGCCUCUCUGUCCAGAUCUGAUGGCUAAGCCAGAUCCCCCCAACCAAUGCCUAUGCAGAGGUUUGCCUUCUGCCCACCAAAUGUGUGAUGCGUCCCCACAAGUGCAGGCCCUGAAACAGAAUGUCCCAGGCAGAGAUGUACCCUAGGGAUUGGCAAAACUCGCCCCCACUAGGGGAGCAGGCCCAGUGUGUGUGUGUGUGCGCACGCGCACACACGUGCACAAAAAUCAACUACAAGACUAUGGAGUGCAUGACAUAGAGGUGUGUUGUGACACAAGAGAAGCUUCCCAUCCUUCUUGCACUGCGGCACAAAUGAGUGCAAAUUUUUCACUCUUGCCCUCCUCACUCUGGACCUUCAGUAUACCUGAAGGAGCGUCUCCACCCCCAUCGUUCUGCCCUGACACUGAGGUCCAGCUCUGAGGGCCUUCUGGCGGUUCACUCCUGCGAGAAACCAAGUUACAGGGAACCAGGCAGGGAGCCUUCUUGGUAGUGGCACCCGCCCUGUGGAAUGCCCUCCCACCAGAUGUCAAGGAAAUAAACAACUAUCUGACUUUUGGAAGGCAUCUGAAGGCAGCCCUGUUUAGGGAAUCUUUUAAUGUUUGAUGUUUUAUCGUGUUUUUAAUAUGGUUUUUAAAGUGGUUUUUUCAUAGAGAGGACAGCUCCUUGUCAAGGGCACAGGGGAUCCUAUGGUGUAAGCUGCCUUGAGCAUUGUUUUUUUAACUGUGGAAAGGCAGCAUACAAAUAAAAAAUGAUGAUGAUCCUAGGUACGCCUCUGACAGGGAGGAGCUGAGCCUUCCUGGAAUUGAUGGGAUCCUGUAAUGGUCCCAGUCCCUGCAUCAUUGCUAGACUGGUGCAGAGAUUGUCCAGCCCCUGCUGUGUGUGACUGGGCUGUGCAGGAGUCUUUGGCACUACCACUUCUUAAAACCCCCUGGUCUUUGCCUGGGUUUUGAAUUGUCCUCCAAUGCUGCAAUCCUAAAACACUUUCUAGGGAUCAACCCCCCAUUGAAUACAAUGGACCUUACUUCUAUGUAAACUUGCAUAGGAUUAUGCGCUUGUAUUCUGGAAGAGAUUUUUUUUACACCCACCCACAGUCUUAGCUGGGUUCACUGAGAGUUGGAAAGACCAGAUGCUGAAAAAUCAAGAAUAUUUCUUGGGGAGAAUUAAGUAUUCCUUAUCACUGCCAAUUAUUACCUGCAUGUGACCUCCAUCCCACACCACUUCUCGCAUUACUGUGUCACAAAGGAAGCCUGGGCUUGAGAACCCCAAGUUUCCCUUAUAUCUUCUCCUUCUGGCCUUAGAAUAUGUUUUAUUUUCCUUCCCUCACACCCCACCUGUCACAAAUAUUUCCCUUCCAUUAAUUCACUCGGAGCAGGGAUCAAGCAUGGCUUGAGUGUCUGAUUGGACUCAGCACUCGAAUUCCUCACAAAGUACUAGUUGUGUGGGGGACAGCAUUGUCACAUUUCACAACCAUGUUAACUUCAAUAUCAUGUCUUCUUCCCCCCUCCCCCAAAUUUCUCUCUCUCUCUCUCUCUCUCUCUCUCUCUCUCUCUCUCUACUGAAAGAGAGACUUAUUUCCCAUCCUGCCUCUCCAGAGCACUUGCCUCGAUCAAAACAACAGUGCCUGAAGCAACUCCUUUCAUAACCUCGGUUUAUCAGGACAGCUAUGCUGGCACUCAUACAUGAGGGAACACAUUUUGAGGAAAGGGCAUGCAACUGGAAUGAACUAGGCAGAACUGGAAGCUGUUCAGGAAAAAACUUGUUUUCUGGAGAUAGCCACACUUGAUUCCAAGACAAAAGUCGCCCUCUUCGCUCAAGGAAAUGUCUCACCUUUUGUGAGACCAUCAGUGCAAAUCCAUGGCUGUUUCUACAAGUUCAAAUAAGUGUUUCAGAGGCCCUAGAUUCUGUAUUUUGGCUUGGAUUUCAGCUUUGUGUGCCACACCAAGAAAGUAUUGUGUUUCUUUUGGCUUUGGCUGUUUCCACAGUUAUGAAAAUUAGAUCAUUAUACCUACCUGAGAGGAAGGAAACGAGGCCAAAUACUCAACGUUGCACUCUUGUUAGUGUCAAAAUCGCAGAGCAAUUUCACACAUUGUGUGUGGAGGGUGGGAUAGGAUGAAACACGAUUAAAUGAUGCUUCCUGCUUGCGCCAGGCCAGUGUAACAUUAGGCAAGGAAAUGACAUGGUGGAGAAAGCUUAUUCCCCAUACAAAAUCCCCUUCAAACCUUAUACAAGCUAUGCAGAAAUUAAAAGCUGCACUCUCCUGUUUUUAGACUCACAGAGUUGGGAGCUCAAAGAUCCUAUAGUCUAGCCCCCUAAGCAAUGUAGAAAAUGCUAAAGCAUCACAGAUAGCGUGGACAUCCCAGCAUCCCAUCUCUAACAAAAGAGAGUCUACCCUUCUGCUCUUGUCAAUAUCAAACAGCUCAUACUGCGUUCCUGAUGUUUAGCUGAAACCCCCUUUCUUGCAAUUUGACCAUUGGGUCAGGCCCUACUCUCUGGAACAUCAGAAGAGACAGUUUCUCUGUCAUCUACAUUGCAGCUGAUCAACUAUUUGAAGAUGACUAUCAUAUCACCUUUUGAUAAUCCCUUCUCCAGCAUAUCCAAUUUCUUUAUAGGACUUGUUAUCUAAGUCCCUCAACAUCUUCCAAAAUAGAGUGGUGCCAUUACUUCUCAUGAUCUGGACAUUACUUCUGUUGAUGCAGCCUAGAAUUACUCUGUUUUUGAGUUUUCAUUUUGUAAAUUGCCCUGUGAUCCUUGGAUGAAGGGUAGCAUAGAAAUUUAAUGAAUUAUAAUAUUAACUAAUAAUAAUCAUUGUAUUAGCCUGUUCAGACACUGCAUUGCACUGCUGUCUCAUGCUUAGCUUGUGGUCUACAAAGACCCUUAGAUCCUUUUCAUACAGUACAGCUUUCAAGUUAGGUGACACCCCGUGCUAUGUUUCUGCAUCUGACUUUGCCGACCAAAUGGAAAACUUUGCCAAAAUCUCUUUUGAAAUUUGUUCAGUUAGUUUUGACACAGUUCUGCAUUCUGUCAAGAUCACCUUGAAUCCUGUUCCUUGUCUUCUAAAGUACCCCACCCAGUUUGGUGUCAUCAACAAAUGUGAUGAGCAUCCCCUCUGCUCCUUUUGUCCAAAUCAUUUACAAAGAUGUGGAACAACAAUGGGCCCAGGAGAGACCCCUGCAGCUCUCCACUUGUCACUGCUCUCCAUGCUGAUGUGGAGCCAUUAGUGAACACUCUUUAGGUAUGGUUCAUUAACCAACUGCAGAUCCAAAUAUCAGGUGCAUCGUCUAGCCCACAAGUUUACCACCUUGUCAACAAGCUAAUUGUGUGGGACUGUCACAGCGCUCCAGCUUGCGCCAUGUAGCGCCAUGUAGCGAUGGGAAGGGAGAUCUAGCCAAAACGGGAGUGUCCCCCUCUGUUCACCCAUGCUUCUUAGUAGACUCUUGCUGCCACUAGGGGAAGGAGUUGGUUACUUCCAACUGCUUUCCACUAACUUACUUUGUGUCUCAUUGAGAACCUGCAAUACAGCCAGCGGCAGAGUCUGCCUGCCUCCUCCCACUCAGCUGCCCUACAGCUGGGCGGAAGGCAGUGGGUAGACUGUUUGGGCAGAGCAGAGAGACGUGUGGCUCAGGUGUGCUGCAGGCCCUGCGGGGAGUGCUGCCCGGCAUUUUGUCACCCCCCCCGUGGUGACACCCGGGUCAACCCGCUCCCACCACACACCCCUUCCUCUGCCACUGAAUACAGCGCAGAACUUGACACUUGGACACGGGUGGCAUAUGAAAAGAUACCACAGUGUGGUGUAGUGGUUAAGAGCAAUAGACUCGUAAUCUGGGGAACCGGGUUUGCUUCCCCGCUCCUCCACAUGCAGCUGCUGGGUGAUCUUGGGCUUGUCACACUUCUUUGAAGUCUCUCAGCCCCACUCACCUCACAGUGUUUGUUGUGGGGGAGGAAGGGAAAGGAGAAUGUUAGCUGCUUUGAGACUACUUCGGGUUGUGAUAAAGCGGGAUAUCAAAUCCAAACUCUUCUUCUUCUUUUUUGAAGUCUCUCAACCCCACUCACCUCACAGAGUAUUUGUUGUGGGGGAGGAAGGGGAAGGAGAAUGUAGCCUCUUUGAGACUCCUUCAGGUAGUGAUAAAGCGGGAUAUCAAAUCCAAACUCUUCUUCUUCUUCACAAAAGUUUUAAGAAACAAGAUUAAAAGUUUACAAGAAGGAUAAAACAGUAGUUCUUGGGAGGGAAAUCUUUUCACGUAAGAAUGGCUACACACACAGCAUAAGGACACAAUAGAAUAAGCUGGAUCAGGCCUAUGGCAGAUCUAGUCCAGCAUCCUGUUCUCACUUUGACCAACCACAGAUGCCUGUGGAAAACCUUCAAGCAAGACCUAAGUCCAAGGGCACUUUCUCCUGCUGCCAUUUCCAGCAACUGAUGAUCAGAACAGCACAUCUACUGCCUCACCUGCAGAUGUAAAGGAGAAAUAGAAUUGUGGGUCAUCAGCAUAUCGCUGACAAAGUAAUGCAGAACUCUGGAUGACCCCAUGCGGUGGUUUCAGGUAGAUGUUAAACAGCAUGGGGGAUAAAAUCAGACCCUGAGGAACCCCACUUUGAAAACUCAAUUGGUGCCGAAAAGCACUCCCUCUGGAAACAACUGUCCAAGGAGGAACCACCACAAACCACCAGAAGGAUAUCAUGGUUGCUGGUAUCAAGAGCUGCUGAGACUUGAGAUGAAUUGACAGGGACCUAUUUCCCUUGUCUUUCUCCUGACAGAAGUCAUCAUACAGGGCGACCAAAGCAGUUUGUGCCAAAACCAGGCCUAAACCCCAGCUGAAAUGGAUCUAGAAAAUCAGGUUCCUUCAAGAGUGAUUGGAUAACACUCACAGAGAGAAACUGAUUUGAGCUUGGCACAUACGAAGCUGAGUUGGACCAUUGGUUCAUCUAGGGCCACAUUCAUACCAUACCAGUGCAGCACUCAGAUACCACUUUUAAAAGGCAUAGCUUUGCCCAGAGAAUUGUGGGAGCUGUAGUUUGUUAAGGGUGCUGAGAGUUUUCAGGAGACCCCCUAUUCCCCUCCCAGAGUUCAUUCCUCUUCCAAGGGAACUCUGGGAAUUGUAACUCUGUGAAGGGAAUAGGGGUCUCCUAACAACUCUCAGCACCUUUAACAAACUACAGCUCCCAUGAUUCUUUGGGGGAGGCAAUGGUAAGGUUACCAGAUUUUUUUCAAUGAAUCCGGGAACUCUUUUCAACUUCCUACUGAAUAGAUGGAUUUUGUCAGGGGACUGAUUUGUAAAUCCAGGGAUUGUCCCCGGGAAACGGGGACGUCUGGGAACCCUAGGCUAGGGUAUCCUCAUGUUUUAAAUGUGUGGCCUGGAUGUGCUCUAGUUCAGCACUGUUUGUUAUUCUGCUUCUGACAGUUGUGGGGGGGAUAUAGUCCUUAUUUUCAGUUUCUUGUGGCCUGCAUUAGCCGUCCCUUUCUCCCACCUUCCUUUGGGGUAGGAAGUCUGCAGAGCUCAGCUAGCACAGACAUGACAUUUCCACCCGUUUAUCCCAACAGAAUUGCGGGUCCUCUGUGUUCUAUUAAAAUAACACCAAUUAAAUGUUGAAAACUGCUUGGGCAUGAACGUUACUCUGGGUCACUUGAAGAGGCAUGUCGUCGUGUCCGGCUUACUGUCAGCCACGAGAGCAGGAGAAGUUAAGAGUUGCAAGUUACAACAGAAGCAAAAACGAAGUCCCUUUCCUUUCUUCCCCUCCUCUUCUCUCCGCUUUUAACUUUGUGCUUUAUUUUACUUUCUCUCUCCCCCCCCCCCCGCUUUCUUGAAAUGCAAACGCAUUUGCUUGAGCUUUUGAGAUCUUUUUGGCUGGAAACGGGGACAGGGAAAAGGAAACUUACCUCUUUAAUUGCUAGCCUAUUGUUGGUAGAAUUUAUAAAUUAUGAUAUUGUUACCUCAGGGCUUGCUGACAGACUGCAUCGGUACUCUUCAGUCUGGCUCUAAUCCCAGCCUCGACCCCCCCCCCAAAAAAAACCACCUCCUUUUGAAUUCUGGAAUGCAGACCAGUGGGGUGGGGUGAGCAUUUUCAUUCAAUAAGCUAACUUGUCUGAACCCAGAUUACUGUACUGUGUAUAACUACUGAAAAAGAAAGAAUUGACAUCCAUCUGCUUUCAACCGACAUUAUAAAAUAUUAUAAAGUGGGGGGGGGGAGGAAGGUUCCUCCACAGAAGCAAAGGCCGAUCUGUGGUUAUUAUUUUCCUCCAACCCCCCCCCCAAAAAAAAUCCUGAGCUGAAGCUGUGAUGGACUUGCUCGAAUGUCGAGAAAGGAUCUUUGAAAACACCGUCUUUUUGGAUGGAUAAGCCUUUGCAGACUAUAGGCAAACACAUUAGCCGCCUUAUGGGGGAAAGCAUUUGUUAUUUGUUACAAAUAAGAGCCCAAAUGUACAAGUCAAGUUGCUUCAGGUCACAGUGGAGACACUGGCAUUUUCCACAAGGGAUGAUGGGAGUUGUAGUAUAACCCCCAUAAGAGCAUGAAAAAAGCCUGCUAGAUCAUGGGUGGGCAAAGUAAGGCCUGGGGGCCGGAUCUGGCCCAAUCACCUUCUCAAUCCGGCCAGCGGACCGUACAGGAAUCAGCGUGCUUUUAGAUGAGUAGAAUGUGUUCUUUUAUGCAUCUCUGAGUUAUUUGUGGGUCCUGCCUGGUGUUUUUACAUCAGUAGAAUGUGUGUUUGUAUUUAAAAUGCAUCUCUAGGUUAUUUGUGGGGUAUAGGAAUUCAUUCAUUCCCCCCUCCCCCCAAAAAUAUAGUCCGGCCCCCCACAAGGUCUGAGGGACAGUGGACCGGCCCCCUGCUGAAAAAGUUUGCUGACCCCUGUGCUAGAUCAUCCAUUCCUGCAUCCUCUUCCCACAGUGGCCAACCAGAUGCUUAUAGGAAGCCCACAAGCCUGGAUAGCUCAGUUGGUUAGACCAUGGUGCUGAUAACACCAAGGUUGCAGGUUCGAUCCCUGUAUGGACCAGCUGCAUAUUCCUGCAUUGCAGGGGGUUGGACUAGAUGAUCCUUAGGGUCCCUUCCAACUCUACAGUUCUAUGAUUCUAUGAAGUGAAACAUGGGGGGCAGCAGCACUCUCCCCAUUUGUGAUUCCCAGUAUUCCCAGGCAUGCUGCCUCCAACAACAGAGGAGGAACAUAGCUAUGAGGGUUAGUAGCCAUUGAUAUUCUUGCCCUCCAUGAAUUUGUCCAGUCCUCUUUUAAAGCCAUCCAAGUUUGUGGCCACCUCUGUCUCUUGUGGAAGCGAGUUCCAUAGGGUCACUAACUUUAUUCUGUCUGUCCUAAAUUAUCCACCUUUCAGCUUCAGUGGAUGUCCCUGAUCUCCAGUGGAAAAAAGAUCCUGCAUUGUCUUCCUCAAGUUUCAAGAAUGUUGGGAGAAAGGAGGAGACAACCACUGGUCUACUCAUCUUGGAUGCAGAAGCUAUUGUAUUCUGGCCCUUGAAGAUAAACUUUCCCCCCAUGAGGAUUCAAGGAGGCCUGUUGGAUGGUGGCGUGCAGGAUCAUUCCCCUUCAAGUGUUCUUCCAGCUAUCAGCGCCUCCCCCCAUAAAUGACAAAGUGACAGCAAAGAAAAGAGUUCCCCGGUGCACGUGCAGAGGGCAUUUCCUCAUUACUGAUAAAAAUUUAGGUGGGUCCUCCAUAUCCAUAAUUGGAAGGUAGAAUUCCUAAGCCAGAAGAGAUUGGUAACCAAAAGGGCUGCAACUCCUUUAUUUAUAAAUUAAGUGCUGGGGUCCGUCAGAGAUGCCCAACUUGGCCUAAAGUGCCCUGAUAAUUUAUGAUAUAAAUUAUGGAACGUGUGUGUGUUUUAUUUAAAGCAGAUUAAAACGAACAAUUGCAGCAACAUUGAAAAUCAGUAGAAAACUCUACUGGAAUAAUGCAGAGUAAAUUAACUCUAUGAUGUAAAUGAAUGUACUCAUUUAAACAGAG